Molecule: ribosomal RNA, 440 nt
Filed under: uncultured bacterium
Lineage: Bacteria
Description: partial 16S ribosomal RNA
Rfam family: Bacterial small subunit ribosomal RNA
Source: RNAcentral
CCUACGGGAUGCUGCAGUGGGGGAUAUUGCACAAUGGGGGAAACCCUGAUGCAGCGACGCCGCGUGGGUGAAGAAGCGCCUCGGCGCGUAAAGCUCUGUCAGCAGGGAAGAAAAUGACGGUACGUGAAGAAGAAGCCCCGGCUAACUACGUGCCAGCAGCCGCGGUAAUACGUAGGGGGAAAGGGUUAUCCGGAUUUACUGGGUGUAAAGGGGGCGCAGACGGCGAUGCAAGCCAGGAGUGAAAGCCCGGGGCCCAACCCCGGGACUGCUCUUGGAACUGCGUGGCUAGAGUGCAGGAGGGGCAGGCGGAAUUCCUGGUGUAGCGGUGAAAUGCGUAGAUAUCAGGAGGAACACCGGUGGCGAAGGCGGCCUGCUGGCCUGCAACUGACGUUGAGGCCCGAAAGCGUGGGGAGCAAACAGGAUUAGAUACCCCUGUAGUC